Molecule: ribosomal RNA, 450 nt
Filed under: Parvimonas micra
Lineage: Bacteria; Bacillati; Bacillota; Tissierellia; Tissierellales; Peptoniphilaceae
Description: bacterial SSU rRNA
Rfam family: Bacterial small subunit ribosomal RNA
Source: RNAcentral
GACGAACGCUGGCGGCGUGCUUAACACAUGCAAGUCGAACGUGAUUUUUAAGGAAAGCCCUUCGGGGAAGGAAUUAAAAUGAAAGUGGCGAACGGGUGAGUAACACGUGAGCAACCUACCUUACACAGGGGGAUAGCCGUUGGAAACGACGAUUAAUACCGCAUGAGACCACAGAAUCGCAUGAUAUAGGGGUCAAAGAUUUAUCGGUGUAAGAAGGGCUCGCGUCUGAUUAGCUAGUUGGAAGGGUAAAGGCCUACCAAGGCGACGAUCAGUAGCCGGUCUGAGAGGAUGAACGGCCACAUUGGAACUGAGACACGGUCCAAACUCCUACGGGAGGCAGCAGUGGGGAAUAUUGCACAAUGGGGGGAACCCUGAUGCAGCGACGCCGCGUGAGCGAAGAAGGUUUUCGAAUCGUAAAGCUCUGUCCUAUGAGAAGAUAAUGACUUAUCA